CUGAGAGACGCCCCACCUUUGUCUGUUAAGCUGCGACACCGCUCAAGGGUCUAGGACGGGUGGCGUAGAGUCUAAGCCUACUGUCCUUAAAUGCAUGUUAAAGAACUUUAAGAAGGGUUUCACGGGAGAUUACGGCGUCACACUGGGUCCCAGCGGACUUAGGGCCCUCUGUGAACACGAAUGGCCCACAUUCGGGGUCGACUGGCCUGCGACAGGAACCUUAGACCUCCCCACCGUGAGAGCAGUUUGGAGAGUCGUGACUGGGCCUCCCGGCCACCCCGACCAGUUCCCUCACAUAGACUCAUGGCUAGAGAUUGCUCAGACCCUGCCCCCUUGGGUCCCGUUCUGUGCUAAUAGGGGACAGAGCAGGGUUUUUGUGGCCCAAAGGACCAGAGGCUCCAAACUGUCCAAACCCAUCUAUCAAACCCAACAUGAACAAAGUCGCUCCGAUCACCCAGAAGCCAGAGGAAUCACCGAGAGAAUUCUACAAGCGCCUUUGUGAGGCCUACUGAGUCCACACACCCUUCGCUUGACCCAGAGGCAGCCGAAAAUCAGCGGAUGGUGAAUGCUGCAUUUGUUGGGCAGUCCUAUGCUGACAUGCGAUGGAAACUCCAGAAACUUGAUGAAUUUACAGAAAUAAACAUCACGCAGCUGAUCAAAGUGGCCCAGAAGGUCUAUGUUAAUGGAGACUCGACCACCCACAGGGGAAAUGACAAGAAAAUAAAACACAAAACAGCUCUCCUGGCCGCUAUCCUUGGAAGACCUGACCCAGCCAGGAGACCUAGCCCACCACGGGAAGGAGGACCCAGGAGACGAGGGACCCUGAAGCCUGACCAGUUCGCCUAUUGUAAAAAAUUUAGUCACUGGAAACAUAAAUGCCCCAACAAAAGAAACCACCCACUGCCAAACAGGAACCUGCCCAGGGGCUUCUAGCAGGAGCCGGAGACCCAGGACCUCAUGGGUCUCACUGGGGUUGACUCAGAAUAGGACCGACCGGGUUCCCUGACUCUUGGCCCCCAGGAGCCUAUGGUCAUAAUGGAAGGGGGGGGCAACCAAUCACGUUCAUGGUGGACUCUAGGGCAGAACAUUCGGUGGUAACAACCCCCAUGGCUACACUUACAAAGUGGGAAACCACCACUGUGGGAGCCACUGGAACUCUGAGUAGCUCGACCCUUCUGCCAAUCCCGAAUAUGCCAGAUGGGGGGCCACCAGAUAAGACAUGAAUUCCUGCACAUACCAGACUGCCCCGUGCCCCUCCUAAGUCGGGAUCUCCUGGGCAAACUGGAAGCCCAGAUCACCUUUCACCUGGAAGGAACCAUGAGCCUUACGCUCAACACUCCAGAGACUCUCAUAAUGGCAGUCACCCUGCCCCGCGAAUUGGAAUGGAAACUAUACGAUAAACCCAAAGAAAAACAAAACCCGCUUGACUUCCGGUAGGAUUUUCCCUCGAGGACAAUGCCCCCCACCCCGGGUCUUGCUCACCAACAUGCACCCCUGGUGAUCAAGAUGAACUACAGGCCAAGCUAUUUCAGACUUACAGCUAUAGCUGAGAUCAAGAAGGAAAUCCCAAUUGUGGUGUGAUGGCUUUACCCACACGAAGCAGAGGGCAAUGACAACCCGGGUUGCAUCUAGCAAAGUGGUAACGAGGAUGACAAAUGGCCUAAAACUAGGUAUUAAUUUAACACAGAUGAAGGAAACUGAAACCCUUGGGGGCAAUGAGGGCUGUUUUCAAAUAUAUGAACUAAAAAAUAGACUAGUUCCAGGGGCAGUACUCUAAUGCAAUGGUAGAAAUUUUAAGAAGGCAAAAUUUAACUUCAGUAUGUUGGGAUGAUUUUUGUAACACUAACAGCCUACAAAAACAGAACUUAAUCUCUGAUGCUGUAAGCUCCUCACCAAUGAAGGUGCUCAAAGGUGAGAAAACCAGGUGUCGGGGAUGCUGAGGAAAGGAUUUCUGCAAAAAAGGUGUUAGGAAGCAGAGCUCAAUGACCUCAGGGUUGCCUGUAUUGCAGAGAACCUUUAAAAUUGUCUUUAUUUUUUAGGAGGUCCUUUUUCCUUUUUUAACAAGAUUUGCGUCGUCACUGAUGCACUAUUUUACUCACACAUGGUGAAUCUGUACUUUUUUGUCUAUAGAAAUAAACUAUUAUGCAACGUUAUAUGUUUUUGUUCUGAUGUCUAAAGUAUAAGGAGAUAACACUAUGAAAUAUUAUAAAGGGUAAAAACUUGUUUGCUCACCUUUGCCGACGAAACAAUUUGCUUGGCCUGGCGUCUUGACAGAUGAUCGAUUGUCCCUAUCAGCACUUCAGGAUCUGCAUUAGCUAAGUGCGUUAAACUUCUGUAACCUGCGUUGUAUAACUGUCUUGCUCGGCCCUGGAAAGUGUUAACAGAAACCAGUAGGAUCAGAAUUUGGGAUUAGAAAAGAAAAAUUAACCAUUUUACUGAUGGGGGAAAUACUUCACAGGUAAGAGAUAGGAAUGAACUAAGAUAAUAAAUAUGAAGAGACAGCACAUCAGAAUCCUGACAAAUUUCUAAAGAUGCGCUUGGGUGGUUCCAAACCGGCUGCAAGACAGCUUUCCAUGCAACUUAAGUCAGCCGACGUGCGCUGCAGUCAGGAAUGAGAAACCCACUGAGGCACUGAGAACACCAGGAAAGGAAUGCAUAGUUUUUCUUUCCCAAGUGACUAAAAACAAUUCCGACCUCUGGGAAUUUAUCCUGAAGACAAAAUACUGAAUAUGGAAAGAUUCAAAUGCAAGAUGAUGCUCGAUGCAGCAUUAAAACAAUAAAAAUACUGGAAGCCACUAGUUAAUAAUUGUUAAAGCUCGGUCCCUUUCAAGUCUUUGGGUAUCAAUUGGGAGUACAUGAUAUGUGGGACAGCCUCAGCUAGGCAUCUUGUGACCACAGAGAAAGUGGUCAAUGCAACAAACACGGCAGUAGAAAGAAGAAGAGAAAACCCUGAACAGAACUACUGAAGGAAUCACCGUGGAGCUGCCUUAGUUCUGAGACACUAAAAACACUACGUUGCCCAG
Molecule: long non-coding RNA, 3023 nt
Organism: Lemur catta (Ring-tailed lemur)
Lineage: Eukaryota; Metazoa; Chordata; Mammalia; Primates; Lemuridae
Exons: 4
Source: RefSeq, a predicted model, not a curated record